This is a non-coding RNA of Notechis scutatus (mainland tiger snake), 275 nucleotides long. NCBI's taxonomy places the organism in Eukaryota, Metazoa, Chordata, Lepidosauria, Squamata, Elapidae. The record is from RefSeq and is a predicted model, not a curated record.
UCCAGUCCGAGCUGAAGAAGCUUCUUGGAUGAGGAGCGAAAUGUCUUCAAAGAAAAAACAAGGAAGUCCAGUUGCUUCCUGAAAAAAGCACCUUUGGGACAAUCUCAUUCCUAGCAUUUUUAAGCGAGCAUGCAAGUUGUUGAGCAGGGUUGCCUCAGACCCUGGGAGGCCCGGUGCAGACCAAGCAUGAGAUGGAGAGGUGCUGCAAUGCAGUACAAAGCUUCAGCUGUCCCAGACUGGCCCUGCAGUGCAGCACUUUUGGUUAAGAUGACCAG